CCUACGGGUGGCUGCAGUGGGGAAUCUUGCGCAAUGGGCGAAAGCCUGACGCCGCGACGCCGCGUGAGGGAUGAAGGUCUUCGGAUCGUAAACCCCUGUCAGCAGGGAAGAACGGUCACUGUGCUAAUCAGCAGUGAAUUGACGGUACCUGUAAAGGAAGCACCGGCUAAAUCCGUGCCAGCAGCCGCGGUAAUACGGAGGGUGCGAGCGUUAAUCGGAAGUACUGGGCGUAAGGCGCUCGUAGGCGGUAUGGCAAGUCACGGGUGAAAUCCCCGCGCUCAACGUGGGAACUGCCUUUGAAACUGGCAGGCUGGAGUGUAUGAGAGGAUGGUGGAAUUCCGGGUGUAGGAGUGAAAUGCGUAGAUAUCUGGAGGAACAUCGGUGGCGAAGGCGGCUAUCUGGCACAUAACUGACGCUGAGGAGCGAAAGCGUGGGUAGCAAACAGGAUUAGAUACCCUUGUAGUC
Molecule: ribosomal RNA, 465 nt
Filed under: uncultured bacterium
Lineage: Bacteria
Description: partial 16S ribosomal RNA
Rfam family: Bacterial small subunit ribosomal RNA
Source: RNAcentral